Molecule: ribosomal RNA, 503 nt
Filed under: uncultured bacterium
Lineage: Bacteria
Description: partial 16S ribosomal RNA
Rfam family: Bacterial small subunit ribosomal RNA
Source: RNAcentral
AUUGAACGCUGGCGGCAGGCUUAACACAUGCAAGUCGAGCGGAGUGAUGGUGCUUGCACUAUCACUUAGCGGCGGACGGGUGAGUAAUGCUUAGGAAUCUGCCUAUUAGUGGGGGACAACAUCUCGAAAGGGAUGCUAAUACCGACUACCUCCUUCGGCAGCAAGCAGGGGAUCACUCGUGAUCUUGCGCUAAUAGAUGAGCCUAAGUCGGAUUAGCUAGUUGGUGGGGUAAAGGACUACCAAGGCGACGAUCUGGAGCGGGUCUGAGAGGAUGAUCCGCCACACUGGGACUGAGUCACGGCCCAGACUCCUACGGGAGGCAGCAGUGGGGAAUAUUGGACAAUGGGGGGAACCCUGAUCCAGCCAUGCCGCGUGUGUGAAGAAGGCCUUAUGGUUGUAAAGCACUUUAAGCGAGGAGGAGGCUCUUUUGGUUAAUACCCAAGAUGAGUGGACGUUACUCGCAGAAUAAGCACCGGCUAACUCUGUGCCAGCAGCCGCCGUAA